UUCCCUGUGGCUCAGUUGGUAGAGCAUGGUGUGUGUGCAACGCCAGGGUUGUGGGUUCGAUUCCCACGGGGGGGG
This is a non-coding RNA of Salmo salar (Atlantic salmon), 75 nucleotides long. NCBI's taxonomy places the organism in Eukaryota, Metazoa, Chordata, Actinopteri, Salmoniformes, Salmonidae. The record is from Rfam.